AAAGUUUGUUCCAUAAAGUAUUUUUGCUUGACUUCAAUGACUGAUCCAUGUGUGGGAUAUGCUAGCCUCUCGGCGUGUGGUAGUAACUGCCCUUCUGUCUGUUCUAGCUGGAUGGACAGGACGGAUAAGACAGACUAUGGCUUACUUCUUCACCUGCGGGAAAGUCGCACAGGAGAUCAUCCUAUUCCCAGGGAGACCUCAUGUCUGAAAACAGCUCCGACAGGUUUACAAACAUGGGCCAGACCACAACAUGUGUCCUGGGCAGUAGUCCCAAGGCUGCCUUUGUUAAGGCUGACCAGGGACCUUUACCCUUGGGGCCAUGUGUUACCAUACAAAGGAGCUCCACGUGUGUGCUCUGUCCACCCAUCACUGCUGAAGCUUGCAGUACAGUGCUGCUUUCUGACAGAGGCCUUAGUUACCAAGAGGGCAGGGCAGCAUGCCCAUCGCUAGACAGCUGAUACGCUAGGCUAAUCUAGCAUGUUGGUCGGUAAAGUGGCAUCUUUAACUGAAAAAUCAUUUUUCGCAUGAAAUAAAUUUAGUAU
Molecule: long non-coding RNA, 542 nt
Filed under: Rattus norvegicus (Norway rat)
Lineage: Eukaryota; Metazoa; Chordata; Mammalia; Rodentia; Muridae
Description: long non-coding RNA NONRATT003329
Source: RNAcentral